Molecule: non-coding RNA, 482 nt
Organism: Camelina sativa (false flax)
Lineage: Eukaryota; Viridiplantae; Streptophyta; Magnoliopsida; Brassicales; Brassicaceae
Source: RefSeq, a predicted model, not a curated record
AUAGAAGUGAUGACCAUAGAAUUGUGAUUGAUGAGAGUCAGAAGCAAUGAUUGGGUUAUUCAAGGUAAAGGAAAAACGAAGAGAGCAAGCUCAAAAUGCUAACAGCGGUUGUGUUAUCUCACUUGAAAAGCACCAGGACUAGCAGCGACACACGAAGGUGCUCUCAUGAUUGUGGGAAACAACGUAGGAGUUACAAUAGGACACUCAAUUUUUGCUCUGACAAUACAAUGGGGAGCUUGCGUUGUCUUUGUUUUGACCAGUCCUAAUCCAGAUCCGUCAAUCAGAAGAGAAUCAUCCAUCAAAAGAACAACCUCGAAGCAAGCGUAGAGGCGGAUCCUAAGAACAAGAAACCUGCAGGGAUUAUGCUACUGACUCUAAUUCCAUUUCUCUUGGUGACAUUGCCUGAUUUAUUUGAUGCACAACCUUGGAGUGACAUCAUUAUGUUGAUCACACUCAUAAUCUCAUGUUCUUCAACCAUUAUC